UACGCGAAGAACCUUACCAGCCCUUGACAUCCCGAUCGCGGUUACCAGAGAUGGUAUCCUUCAGUUAGGCUGGAUCGGUGACAGGUGCUGCAUGGCUGUCGUCAGCUCGUGUCGUGAGAUGUUGGGUUAAGUCCCGCAACGAGCGCAACCCUCGCCCUUAGUUGCCAUCAUUCAGUUGGGCACUCUAAGGGGACUGCCGGUGAUAAGCCGAGAGGAAGGUGGGGAUGACGUCAAGUCCUCAUGGCCCUUACGGGCUGGGCUACACACGUGCUACAAUGGUGGUGACAGUGGGCAGCGAGACCGCGAGGUCGAGCUAAUCUCCAAAAGCCAUCUCAGUUCGGAUUGCACUCUGCAACUCGAGUGCAUGAAGUUGGAAUCGCUAGUAAUCGUGGAUCAGAAUGCCACGGUGAAUACGUUCCCGGGCCUUGUACACACC
This 436-nucleotide ribosomal RNA is filed under the name uncultured Phyllobacterium sp. RNAcentral's name for it is "bacterial SSU rRNA". It matches the Rfam family "Bacterial small subunit ribosomal RNA", at positions 958 to 1391 of the family's 1533-position model. The record is from RNAcentral. Lineage: Bacteria; Pseudomonadati; Pseudomonadota; Alphaproteobacteria; Hyphomicrobiales; Phyllobacteriaceae.